ACGAGCACAAACACAGUGAGUAGGAUGCUGCCAACGCCGCACUUCGAACUGCUGGGCAAACGAAGAACAUGGGUGACACCGUAUCAAGAGGUGCAGAUGUCAAGGUCCACACCUGAAUCAAAUGACGCACCUAAAGAAUGAACACGGUGAGAAUUCUUUUUUAGAAGACUUAAAACAUUGAACCCUUGCCGAAAGGUAAAAUCGGUAGUUAUCCGUAUUUAUCCUUUCUGCAUUCCCUUUUUCCUUAAAUUAUUUACUUUCCUUAAAUAGCUUGUUAGUUAAUCGUACUAUCUUGAAAAGAAAUUUAAAAUGUUAAAAACAGUAAGCCCCAUGUGAGUAUGCUCGUGGCAUAAAACCCAUAAGUACAUUCACUGUGGUGGCGUAAAAAUAAAAAUAUUCCUGUCCUAUAAAAAUUUAAAUAUAAAAAUAAAAUUAUGAUCCUACCAAAGAGAGUAAUAAUUAUUAGAGGAAGCUCAACAUGAUAACGGCUAAGAGAUUUUAUGCUAACACUUAACCAGUUCCACAAAGCUUUGUUGUCUAUUUGAGCUCUACAGAAUUCAAGGAUCAAAGAAGACUAGUAGACGGAGGACAUCCUAAUCGCUGUCAGGGUGCUGCCGACAUUCAAAUACACCUCCGCCACCUGCUAGCAACAUCAGAAGAAAUUAUGUCAAAAUCUAGCUUGGGGGAGAGCACCCCCAUUUAUCCAGCUAAGUGUUUCUACUUGCGUUUAUACUUUACUCAAAUAAUAAAAAGAUGCAUAAUCAUAAAAACCCAAAUAAUGAUUUUGUGCUUAUAUAUAUAUCUUUGCUUAGUUUGCUAAAUAAAUAAAUAAAGUUUGCUAUGAACCCUCAUGAUAAGCUCUCACAUGGAAAUGAUGAAUAGUUGCUCUGCCAUGACUAGUUCUCAAAAUUGAAAUCUUUUUCAAGUUUAGACAUAACUGUUGUAAUUUAAAGAUUGCUCUAAACUUGAACUUGUGGGAAGAGAACUUGAUCUAAAGUCUAAGUCGUUAAUGGAUACGAUAUGGGAAGGUUGAGCUGUUGUUUAGCUGUUCCUAGAGAUGCUAGAAUUCUGGAGAAUUUUAUCUUUGAAAAUAUUUAAAAUGUUGCAUGACGAGUUCCUGUAUGAUGAGAGUUUAAAAUCCUACCACAACCAUAUAUACAUGCUUAUUAGACUAUGAACCAUACAUUUACUUUUUACUGCUUGUGAGCAUUGAGUGUGGUCAAGCUAUGUAGACCCUUCGGAGCUUGUCAUGCGGUUAAAAUCAAGAUUCACUGGCACGUUCACUCAUACAAGCUGCUUUUACUCCGAAAGUACGCAUCCACAUACAUCCACUCAUUUCCAUCUCCAGAUUCACCCAAAAUUAUUCUACUCCUAUCCUAGACAGAAUAGCCAAAAACAUUAUCCCAUUCCUGUUUUCCCCUGUGAAAUAAAUGCUCGAGGUAUUUUGGUUACUACCACUUGCUACAUUAUUCUAGGAGAGUGAGUGCUCAAAAAAAGAGAAGAAAAAGGAAAAAUACGAGGAAAUAAAAAGGGGCAAGUGCCCAGAACCUCGAAGAAAAGAAAAAGUGAGACGAGAGGUAAAAAUGGGCAAGUGUCCGACAGUAGAAUUAGGGGUACAAGAUACCCACCUGAGAGGAAAGAAAAAGAAAAUAUAGAGCAUCUCAUUCUCCUCAAAAAGCUUCAAAGUGCAAGAAAGGUAUGUAUCCCCUUAAAAGAGCAAAAGUAGAAUUAGAUUUUCACCAUUGUUAUCACCAUCAUCACCAUACACCAUUCACUCGCCACACAUGCACAUCUUGAUUUGACUUAUUGACUUGUUCUUCUGGAUCCAUGGUUUGACUAUGCAAUAAAUGUGUUGUAAGAAUGUAUACUCUAUCUCCCACCUAUGAGCUCCAGAUAUCAAAACCUUAUUAGAGUAGGGUGAGAGAGAAGGCAAUGUCACUAUGCCUCAUACCAAAAACACCACAUACUUUGAGAGAAGGCAUAUACCAUUACUGCCUUGGUAAGGAUCCAGAAAUACCACAAAAGAGAGAUUUGAGAGAGUCAGACAAGGAAUCUCUGAGUUUUAUUUGAAAAUCUGCAAAACCUCCAGAGCUAUAGCUGAUCAAGAACAAGAGACAUGACGCUUGACUAGACUUUUCUAUCUUUUAACUGCUCAAGACACAAGUGACGGUUGCAAGCCCCAUGGUGAAAGGUAAAAUGAGUAAGUUUUAAGUCUUAACAGUUUACUCUAACUCAGAGAUGAGAUCUUGCUUGAACGCAUGUGUACCGUAAACUUUUAAAGGCAUUACAACAACUUCUGAUCCAUCAGUGAGUCUAUCGUUAGCUCAGGGACGAGCAAGAGGUAAGCUUGGGGGAGUUUGUUGACGGUCCUUAAAUACCAAAUAUAAUCAUCAAAUAAAUAAAGAAAAGGAUCCAAAUGCAACCAACACCCAGACUUAGGGUUUUAUUUGACAGAAUUCCAUGAGUUUUGGUGUUUGUCUAUUUCUGUAGGGGGUUAUCUGGAAAUAUGGAGGAAAGACCCACACAUCGGGUUCACAUAGAGAUAUUAACGUAUGCGCCAAUUUUCUAUCAUCUAGAAGAGUCCAGAAGCCACGGGAAUGAACGGGAGGCCGAGUGGGCCUAGGGACAGGGCGCCCGCCCUCCCCCCUUGGGCGCCCGCCCAGGUGUCUCGGCCAAUCAGGCCCCGCCUCAAGGAUCAUGCUCCAACAAUCUAAAGGAUUAAAGAAAACCAUGCGAUUAAGGUCAGUUUGAUCCGACGGUCCACGUUCAUUUGGAAGGGCUAUAUAAGCAAGCCUCCUGGC
This 2801-nucleotide long non-coding RNA is filed under the name Sorghum bicolor (sorghum). RNAcentral describes it as "long non-coding RNA (SBIC_LNC015665)". The record is from RNAcentral. Lineage: Eukaryota; Viridiplantae; Streptophyta; Magnoliopsida; Poales; Poaceae.